AAGGAGCUUUCAUGGGCCCUGUGCUCACCGUGUGGUGGGUGGGGGGUUGAUGCUGCUGCCGGGGUUUCCUGGUGGUGGUGCUUCUGUGGAAUGUUGACUGAAAUUUUGGGCGCACUGUUGGGGUUCUGGGGUAUCACGCACGUGUGUGUGGUGUCUGGCCGGCUCCUCGGCUGCGCGGGUCUUCGGGUUCGUGUGGUGGGUGUCUGGUGUGGUGGUUGAGAACUGUACAGUGGAUAUGAGCAUCUUUGUAGAAUUUUGUAUGUGUAUU
This 268-nucleotide unclassified non-coding RNA is filed under the name Acidipropionibacterium thoenii. RNAcentral describes it as "16S-23S ribosomal RNA intergenic spacer". The record is from RNAcentral. Lineage: Bacteria; Bacillati; Actinomycetota; Actinomycetes; Propionibacteriales; Propionibacteriaceae.